RNAcentral lists this ribosomal RNA (261 nucleotides) under Acinetobacter baumannii. Its description in RNAcentral is "partial 23S ribosomal RNA". It matches the Rfam family "Bacterial large subunit ribosomal RNA", at positions 1762 to 2022 of the family's 2925-position model. The record is from RNAcentral. Lineage: Bacteria; Pseudomonadati; Pseudomonadota; Gammaproteobacteria; Moraxellales; Moraxellaceae.
CUGAGCUGACGACAGCCGCAGAAACCAGGCCGCUGCAACUGUUUAUUAAAAACAUAGCACUCUGCAAACACGAAAGUGGACGUAUAGGGUGUGAUGCCUGCCCGGUGCUGGAAGGUUAAUUGAUGGGGUUAGCGUAAGCGAAGCUCUUGAUCGAAGCCCCAGUAAACGGCGGCCGUAACUAUAACGGUCCUAAGGUAGCGAAAUUCCUUGUCGGGUAAGUUCCGACCUGCACGAAUGGCAUAAUGAUGGCGGCGCUGUCUC